RNAcentral lists this ribosomal RNA (912 nucleotides) under uncultured archaeon. RNAcentral describes it as "bacterial SSU rRNA". It matches the Rfam family "Archaeal small subunit ribosomal RNA", at positions 1 to 922 of the family's 1478-position model. The record is from RNAcentral.
UUCCGGUUGAUCCUGCCGGACCUGAUUGCUAUCGGAUUGGUACUAAGCCAUGCGAGUAAGUGUAGCAAUACACUGCAGACGGCUCAGUAACACGUGGUCAAGCUAACCUAUGGACGUGGAUAACCUCGGGAAACUGAGAAUAAACCGCGAUAGAUCAUGAUGCCUGGAAUGGCUCAUGGUCGAAAUAGUUUACUGCCGUAGGAUGCGACUGCGGCCUAUCAGUUUGUUGGUGAGGUAAUGGCCCACCAAGACUAUUACAGGUACGGGCUCUGAGAGGAGAAGCCCGGAGAUGGGUACUGAGACACGGACCCAGGCCCUAUGGGGCGCAGCAGGCGAGAAACCUUAGCAAUGUGCGAAAGCACGACUGGGUUAGUCCGAGUGAUUCCUGCUAAAGGAAUCUUUUGCCGGUCCUAAAAGCACCGGUGAAUAAGGGGUGGGCAAGUCUGGUGUCAGCCGCCGCGGUAAUACCAGCACCUCGAGUGAUCAGGACGUUUAUUGGGCCUAAAGCAUCCGUAGCUGGCUUUGCAAGUCUCCGGUUAAAUCAACCUGCUCAACAGAUUGGCCGCUGGAGAUACUACAAGGCUAGGGAGUGGGAGAGGCAGACGGUAUUCGGGGGGUAGGGGUAAAAUCCUCUGAUCCUCUGAGGACCACCAGUGGCGAAGGCGGUCUGCCAGAACACGUUCGACAGUGAGGGAUGAAAGCUGGGGGAGCAAACCGGAUUAGAUACCCGGGUAGUCCCAGCUGUAAACGAUGCAAACUCGGUGAAGCAUUGGCUUAAUGCUAAUGCUGUGCCGCAGGGAAGCCGUUAAGUUUGCCGCCUGGGAAGUACGGUCGCAAGAUUGAAACUUAAAGGAAUUGGCGGGGGAGCACCACAAGGGUGAAGCCUGCGGUUCAAUUGGAUUCAACGCCGGA